UCCGAUUCCUACGGGAGGCAGCAGUGGGGAAUUUUCCGCAAUGGGCGAAAGCCUGAUCCAGCCAUGCCGCGUGUGUGAAGAAGGUCUUCGGAUUGUAAAGCACUUUAAGUUGGGAGGAAGGGCAUUAACCUAAUACGUUAGUGUUUUGACGUUACCGACAGAAUAAGCACCGGCUAACUUCGUGCCAGCAGCCGCGGUAAUACGAAGGGUGCAAGCGUUAAUCGGAAUUACUGGGCGUAAAGCGCGCGUAGGUGGUUCGUUAAGUUGGAUGUGAAAGCCCCGGGCUCAACCUGGGAACUGCAUCCAAAACUGGCGAGCUAGAGUACGGUAGAGGGUGGUGGAAUUUCCUGUGUAGCGGUGAAAUGCGUAGAUAUAGGAAGGAACACCAGUGGCGAAGGCGACCACCUGGACUGAUACUGACACUGAGGUGCGAAAGCGUGGGGGGCAAACAGGAUUAGAUACCCUGGUAGUCCACGCCGUAAACGAUGUCAACUAGCCGUUGGGUUCCUUGAGAACUUAGUGGCGCAGCUAACGCAUUAAGUUGACCGCCUGGGGAGUACGGCCGCAAGGUUAAAACUCAAAUGAAUUGACGGGGGCCCGCACAAGCGGUGGAGCAUGUGGUUUAAUUCGAAGCAACGCGAAGAACCUUACCUGGCCUUGACAUGCUGAGAACUUUCCAGAGAUGGAUUGGUGCCUUCGGGAACUCAGACACAGGUGCUGCAUGGCUGUCGUCAGCUCGUGUCGUGAGAUGUUGGGUUAAGUCCCGUAACGAGCGCAACCCUUGUCCUUAGUUACCAGCACGUAAUGGCGGGCACUCUAAGGAGACUGCCGGUGACAAACCGGAGGAAGGUGGGGAUGACGUCAAGUCAUCAUGCCCCUUACGGCCAGGGCUACACACGUGCUACAAUGGUCGGUACAAAGGGUUGCCAAGCCGCGAGGUGGAGCUAAUCCCAUAAAACCGAUCGUAGUCCGGAUCGCAGUCUGCAACUCAACUGCGUGAAGUCGGAAUCGCUAGUAAUCGUGAAUCAGAAUGUCACGGUGAAUACGUUCCCGGGCCUUGUACACACC
This 1068-nucleotide ribosomal RNA is filed under the name uncultured Pseudomonas sp. RNAcentral describes it as "bacterial SSU rRNA". It matches the Rfam family "Bacterial small subunit ribosomal RNA", at positions 331 to 1391 of the family's 1533-position model. The record is from RNAcentral. Lineage: Bacteria; Pseudomonadati; Pseudomonadota; Gammaproteobacteria; Pseudomonadales; Pseudomonadaceae.